Molecule: transfer RNA, 65 nt
Filed under: Ovalipes punctatus
Lineage: Eukaryota; Metazoa; Arthropoda; Malacostraca; Decapoda; Ovalipidae
Description: tRNA-Phe
Source: RNAcentral
AUUUAUAUAAUUUAUAAAGAAUAUUGCAUUGAAGCUGCAAACGAGAAUGAGUAGUUCUGUAAAUA